AGUAAUGUAUGGGGAUCUGCCUGAUGGCGGGAGAUAACUACUGGAAACGGUAGCUAAUACCGCAUAAUGUCUGCGGACCAAAGCGGGGGACCUCCGGGCCUCGCGCCAUCAGAUGAACCCAUAUGGGAUUAGCUAGUAGGUAAGGUAACGGCUUACCUAGGCGACGAUCCCUAGCUGGUCUGAGAGGAUGAUCAGCCACACUGGGACUGAGACACGGCCCAG
RNAcentral lists this ribosomal RNA (222 nucleotides) under uncultured bacterium. RNAcentral describes it as "partial 16S ribosomal RNA". It matches the Rfam family "Bacterial small subunit ribosomal RNA", at positions 109 to 334 of the family's 1533-position model. The record is from RNAcentral.